This 274-nucleotide ribosomal RNA is filed under the name uncultured bacterium. RNAcentral's name for it is "partial 16S ribosomal RNA". It matches the Rfam family "Bacterial small subunit ribosomal RNA", at positions 523 to 796 of the family's 1533-position model. The record is from RNAcentral.
AUACGGAGGGUGCAAGCGUUAUUCGGAAUCACUGGGCGUAAAGGACGCGUAGGCGGGUUGGCAAGUCAGAUGUGAAAUCCUACAGCUUAACUGUAGAACUGCAUUUGAAACUGCUAACCUAGAGUAUGGGAGGGGGAGAUGGAAUUAGUGGUGUAGGGGUAAAAUCCGUAGAUAUCACUAGGAAUACCGAAAGCGAAGGCGAUCUCCUGGAACAUAACUGACGCUAAGGCGUGAAAGCGUGGGGAGCAAACAGGAUUGGAAACCCUAGUAGUCC